Molecule: transfer RNA, 73 nt
Organism: Ipomoea nil (Japanese morning glory)
Lineage: Eukaryota; Viridiplantae; Streptophyta; Magnoliopsida; Solanales; Convolvulaceae
Rfam family: tRNA
About the family: Transfer RNA (tRNA) molecules are approximately 80 nucleotides in length. Their secondary structure includes four short double-helical elements and three loops (D, anti-codon, and T loops). Further hydrogen bonds mediate the characteristic L-shaped molecular structure. tRNAs have two regions of fundamental functional importance: the anti-codon, which is responsible for specific mRNA codon recognition, and the 3' end, to which the tRNAs corresponding amino acid is attached (by aminoacyl-tRNA synthetases). tRNAs cope with the degeneracy of the genetic code in two manners: having more than one tRNA (with a specific anti-codon) for a particular amino acid; and 'wobble' base-pairing, i.e. permitting non-standard base-pairing at the 3rd anti-codon position.
Source: Rfam
GCGGGGAUAGCUCAGUUGGGAGAGCGUCAGACUGAAGAUCUGAAUGUCAAGGGUUUGAUCCAUGUUCACCGGA